AGGGAAUAUUAGAAAUGGACGAAAGUCUGAUCUAGCAACACCGCGUGUGCGAAGAAGGCCUUCGGGUCGUAAAGCACUUUUUGGAAGGAAUAGGAAGGAAUGUACUUCCAGAAUAAGUCUCGGCUAACUACGUGCCAGCAGCCGCGGUAACACGUAGGAGGCAAACGUUAUCCGGAUUUACUGGGCGUAAAGCGCGUGUAGGUGGUACUGUAAGUAGGGCGUGAAAGCUCCUGGCUCAACUGGGAGAGGCCGUUCUAAACUACAGAACUAGAGGAUGGUAGAGGGAGGUGGAAUUCCAGGUGUAGCGGCGGAAUGCGCAGAUAUCUGGAGGAACACCGGUGGCGAAGGCGGUCUCCUGGACCAUUCCUGACACUCAGACGCGAAAGCUGGGGUAGCAAACGG
RNAcentral lists this ribosomal RNA (402 nucleotides) under uncultured bacterium. Its description in RNAcentral is "bacterial SSU rRNA". It matches the Rfam family "Bacterial small subunit ribosomal RNA", at positions 356 to 775 of the family's 1533-position model. The record is from RNAcentral.